CCUACGGGAGGCAGCAGUAGGGAAUCUUCCACAAUGGGCGCAAGCCUGAUGGAGCAACACCGCGUGAGUGAAGAAGGGUUUCGGCUCGUAAAACUCUGUUGUUGAAGAAGAACGUGCGUGAGAGUAACUGUUCAUGCAGUGACGGUAUUCAACCAGAAAGUCACGGCUAACUACAUGCCAGCAGCCGCGGUAAU
RNAcentral lists this ribosomal RNA (194 nucleotides) under uncultured Clostridium sp. Its description in RNAcentral is "partial 16S ribosomal RNA". It matches the Rfam family "Bacterial small subunit ribosomal RNA", at positions 338 to 524 of the family's 1533-position model. The record is from RNAcentral. RNAcentral also lists the same sequence under 1 other name. Lineage: Bacteria; Bacillati; Bacillota; Clostridia; Eubacteriales; Clostridiaceae.